Molecule: ribosomal RNA, 382 nt
Filed under: uncultured bacterium
Lineage: Bacteria
Description: bacterial SSU rRNA
Rfam family: Bacterial small subunit ribosomal RNA
Source: RNAcentral
GACGAACGUUGGCGGCGUGCCUAAUACAUGCAAGUCAAUUGAAAUACCGGUAGCAAUACUGGUAUGGAGGUGGCGCACGGGUGAGUAACACGUAGGUAAUCUGCCUUCAGGUCUGACAUAACCCAUCGAAAGGUGAGCUAAUAUCAGAUGAUGCAGCGGCUUGACAUCAAGACAGUUGCUAAAGCUUCGGCGCCUGAAGAUGAGCCNGCGUCUGAUUAGCUAGUUGGCGGGGUAACGGCCCACCAAGGCUGCGAUCAGUAGCUGGUCUGAGAGGAUGAUCAGUCACACUGGAACUGAGACACGGUCCAGACUCCUACGGGAGGCAGCAGUAAGAAUAUUGCUCAAUGGCCGAAAGGCUGAAGCAGCAACGCCGCGUGAGGGA